Molecule: long non-coding RNA, 183 nt
Organism: Corvus hawaiiensis (hawaiian crow)
Lineage: Eukaryota; Metazoa; Chordata; Aves; Passeriformes; Corvidae
Exons: 3
Source: RefSeq, a predicted model, not a curated record
CUACAUCUCUCCUGGAGCCCCUUUAGGUCCUGGAAGGUGUUCUAAGGUCUCCCCGGAGCCUUCUCUUCUGCAGGCUGAACACCCCAAUUCUCUCAGCCUGUCUUUGCAGGAGAGGUGCUCCAGCCCACAGAGCAUCUUCACGGCCUCUUCUGGUUUCACUCCAACAGAUCCAUGUCUUUCCUG